UGGGGAAUAUUGGGCAAUGGGCGCAAGCCUGACCCAGCAACGCCGCGUGAGGGAAGAAGGCUUUCGGGUUGUAAACCUCUGUCCUUGGUGACGACAAAAAUGACGGUAGCCAAGGAGGAAGCCCCGGCUAACUACGUGCCAGCAGCCGCGGUAAUACGUAGGGGGCGAGCGUUGUCCGGAAUGACUGGGCGUAAAGGGUGCGUAGGUGGCCUGUUAAGUUGGAUGUGAAAUCCCCGGGCUUAACUUGGGUGGUGCAUCUAAUACUGGAGGGCUAGAGUGCAGGAGAGGGAAGCGGAAUUCCUAGUGUAGCGGUGAAAUGCGUAGAUAUUAGGAGGAACACCAGUGGCGAAGGCGGCUUUCUGGACUGUAACUGACACUGAGGCACGAAAGCGUGGGGAGCAAACA
RNAcentral lists this ribosomal RNA (405 nucleotides) under uncultured prokaryote. Its description in RNAcentral is "bacterial SSU rRNA". It matches the Rfam family "Bacterial small subunit ribosomal RNA", at positions 355 to 774 of the family's 1533-position model. The record is from RNAcentral.